This 860-nucleotide long non-coding RNA is filed under the name Homo sapiens (human). RNAcentral describes it as "HSALNT0383539". The record is from RNAcentral. Lineage: Eukaryota; Metazoa; Chordata; Mammalia; Primates; Hominidae.
CCAGAAGCCCCAACGGACGCAACUGCCACUGGGCGGGUGGGGGAGGGGUGGCAGCUUGGGCAGCCAAGGGGCCCCGUCUCCUACAAACCUCCUGCACACCUGGGGAAGGCAGCAGCUCUGGGGUCUGCAGGGGGGCACCUCAUGGUUCCCAACUCUCCUAGAAGCAAAAAGGGAUUCAAAGAGGCCCACUUGAUAACCUGUCAGGCUGCAUAGCAGUGAGGCUUCCUCCUUUACACCGAUGUCGGGGAAAAGAAAACUACCUGGCAAGUUAGGAUACAGCAGGAACGGUCUCCAAGACAGCCAUUGAAAAUGCUCCCAAAUGCUGGAGACCUCAGCUCCUGCACAAAGACAAAACCACAGAGGAAAGCACUCAGAAAGGAGCAGGAUGAGGGAAUGCAAAGAAAAGGCAAAUGAGGGAAGCGUUGAAAGAUACAGCCUUGAUACAAUGGCCACAAAGAAGAGCUCUUCACAAUAGAAGCUUGUUAUGUUUGCUUUGCCAUCAUCCACCAUAAAGCCUGGAAUACAACCUUCUUCCCUUUUCAGUAAACAUCUACUGAGUAAAUCACACGAAGUCUCCAGGGUUUCGGUUCCUACUAUGAACCUAGAGAACAGGCCAGAAGCAUGUUGCACAAGGCUUCCGUUUUCACUGUCCAGUGACUGGUAUCCAAAUUCCCAGAUUUUCGCAGUAAACUUCACUCAGUCUUGUUAUAAUUGUUAUCUGUAAACAUUUUUAUUCAGAAUGUUCUUAAAUGAACUCAGGGAAAGCUGUGCAUUAAAUAGACAUUUAACAGAUGGUCAAGAGAGUAGUAUUCUGAAAUUUGGUAAAACUGCACUAAUGAUAUUUAUAUACUACACUGGAG